UACGAAGGGGGCGAGCGUUGUUCGGAUUUACUGGGCGUAAAGGGCGCGCAGGCGGCGCAUUUUGUCAGGCGUGAAAGCCCCGGGCUUAACCUGGGAACUGCGUUUGAUACGGAUGGGCUAGAGUUCGGGAGAGGAGAGUGGAAUUCCCAGUGUAGAGGUGAAAUUCGUAGAUAUUGGGAAGAACACCGGUGGCGAAGGCGGCUCUCUGGACCGACAUUGACGCUGAGGAGCGAAAGCCAGGGGAGCAAACGGG
Molecule: ribosomal RNA, 253 nt
Filed under: uncultured bacterium
Lineage: Bacteria
Description: partial 16S ribosomal RNA
Rfam family: Bacterial small subunit ribosomal RNA
Source: RNAcentral